UACGGAGGGUGCAAGCGUUGUCCGGAUUUAUUGGGUUUAAAGGGUGCGUAGGCGGGCCUUUAAGUCAGUGGUGAAAGCCGACAGCUCAACUGUCGAAAUGCCAUUGAUACUGGGGGUCUUGAGUACAGUAGAGGUAGGCGGAAUUAAUGGUGUAGCGGUGAAAUGCAUAGAUACCAUUAAGAACACCGAUUGCGAAGGCAGCUUACUAUAGUGUAACUGACGCUGAGGCACGAAAGUGUGGGGAUCAAACAGG
Molecule: ribosomal RNA, 253 nt
Filed under: uncultured bacterium
Lineage: Bacteria
Description: partial 16S ribosomal RNA
Rfam family: Bacterial small subunit ribosomal RNA
Source: RNAcentral